Molecule: ribosomal RNA, 253 nt
Filed under: uncultured bacterium
Lineage: Bacteria
Description: partial 16S ribosomal RNA
Rfam family: Bacterial small subunit ribosomal RNA
Source: RNAcentral
UACGGGGGGGGCAAGCGUUGUGCGGAAUUACUGGGCGUAAAGGGCUCGUAGGCGGCCAACUAAGUCGGACGUGAAAUCCCUCGGCUUAACCGGGGAACUGCGUCCGAUACUGGAUGGCUUGAGUUCGGGAGAGGGAUGCGGAAUUCCAGGUGUAGCGGUGAAAUGCGUAGAUAUCUGGAGGAACACCGGUGGCGAAGGCGGCAUCCUGGACCGACACUGACGCUGAGGAGCGAAAGCCAGGGGAGCAAACGGG